UAGGGAAUCUUCCACAAUGGACGCAAGUCUGAUGGAGCAACGCCGCGUGAGUGAAGAAGGUUUUCGGACCGUAAAGCUCUGUUGUUGGUGAAGAAGGAUAGAGGUAGUAACUGGCCUUUAUUUGACGGUAAUCAACCAGAAAGUCACGGCUAACUACGUGCCAGCAGCCGCGGUAAUACGUAGGUGGCAAGCGUUGUCCGGAUUUAUUGGGCGUAAAGCGAGAGCAGGCGGAAGAAUAAGUCUGAUGUGAAAGCCCUCGGCUUAACCGAGGAAUUGCAUCGGAAACUGUUUUUCUUGAGUGCAGAAGAGGAGAGUAGAACUCCAUGUGUAGCGGUGGAAUGCGUAGAUAUAUGGAAGAAUACCAGUGGCGAAGGCGGCUCUCUGGUCUGCAACUGACGCUGAGGCUCGAAAGCAUGGGCAGCGAACAGGAUUAGAUACCCUGGUAGUCCAUGCCGUAAACGAUGAGUGCUAAGUGUUGGGAGGCUUCCGCCUCUCAGUGCUGCAGCUAACGCAUUAAGCACUCCGCCUGGGGGAGUACGACCGCAAGGUUGAAAC
Molecule: ribosomal RNA, 555 nt
Filed under: uncultured bacterium
Lineage: Bacteria
Description: partial 16S ribosomal RNA
Rfam family: Bacterial small subunit ribosomal RNA
Source: RNAcentral